RNAcentral lists this microRNA precursor (58 nucleotides) under Homo sapiens (human). RNAcentral's name for it is "Hsa-Mir-376-P1_pre stem-loop". The record is from RNAcentral. Lineage: Eukaryota; Metazoa; Chordata; Mammalia; Primates; Hominidae.
GUGGAUGUUCCUUCUAUGCUUACAGGAUUUAUGGUGAAUCAUAGAGGAAAAUCCGCAU